This 70-nucleotide transfer RNA is filed under the name Trachypithecus auratus (Javan langur). RNAcentral's name for it is "tRNA-His". It matches the Rfam family "tRNA". Rfam says of the family: Transfer RNA (tRNA) molecules are approximately 80 nucleotides in length. Their secondary structure includes four short double-helical elements and three loops (D, anti-codon, and T loops). Further hydrogen bonds mediate the characteristic L-shaped molecular structure. tRNAs have two regions of fundamental functional importance: the anti-codon, which is responsible for specific mRNA codon recognition, and the 3' end, to which the tRNAs corresponding amino acid is attached (by aminoacyl-tRNA synthetases). tRNAs cope with the degeneracy of the genetic code in two manners: having more than one tRNA (with a specific anti-codon) for a particular amino acid; and 'wobble' base-pairing, i.e. permitting non-standard base-pairing at the 3rd anti-codon position. Lineage: Eukaryota; Metazoa; Chordata; Mammalia; Primates; Cercopithecidae. RNAcentral also lists the same sequence under 1 other name. The record is from RNAcentral.
GUAAAUAUAAUUUAAUUNAAAAUAUUAGAUUGUGAAUCUAAACAUAGAAACUCACCCCUUCUUAUUUACC